UCUUAAUCCAACAUCGAGGUCGCAACCCAUUUUGUCGAUAUGAACUCUCAAAAAUGAUUACGCUGUUAUCCCUAAGGUAACUUUAUCUUAUGAUCAUAAAUUAUGGAUCAAAUAAACAUAAAUCAAUGAUUUAAUCAUGAAGAGUUUAAUUAUUCUUCAAGUCACCCCAACUAAACAUUUAAAAAUUUAUACUUAAAAAUAAACUAAAAUAAUAUAAAUUUUAAAAAUGUUAAGCUCUAUAGGGUCUUCUCGUCCUCAAGGAAAAUUUAAGCCUUUUAACUUAAAAGUUAAAUUCUAAAACUUAUUAAGAGACAGUUAAUUUCUCGUCAAACCAUUCAUACAAGCCCCUAAUUAAGAAACUAAUGAUUAUGCUACCUUUGCACGGU
This 386-nucleotide ribosomal RNA is filed under the name Camnula pellucida (clear-winged grasshopper). RNAcentral describes it as "partial 16S ribosomal RNA". The record is from RNAcentral. Lineage: Eukaryota; Metazoa; Arthropoda; Insecta; Orthoptera; Acrididae.